Molecule: small nuclear RNA, 104 nt
Organism: Grammomys surdaster
Lineage: Eukaryota; Metazoa; Chordata; Mammalia; Rodentia; Muridae
Source: RefSeq, a predicted model, not a curated record
GUGCUGGAUUCAGCAGCACAUAUGCAAAACCUCAGUAACAGAGAGGAUGAGCAAGGCCCCUGUGCAAGGGGGACAUGCAAAUUUAUAAAGUAUCCUCUUGUUCU